GUUGUUUGUUGAGGUACUCCUCAACAUGUGAGGUCCGUCUCACAUGAUUCUCCCUCUAGAGAGCCGGGACUUAUCCCUCCUGGAUAACUAUCCCGUUAGAGCAACAUCUCUCUUCGUUUGGGAGACCACUAUCCCCUUGGACUACUCCGAUCUGCUGAACAAACUGUGCAUUGUUCUGCCUCCUACAAACGCACUUGCUAGAUUGCGACUCCCCGUCAAUACAGUCCCCGCUG
This 233-nucleotide long non-coding RNA is filed under the name Musa acuminata (dwarf banana). Its description in RNAcentral is "long non-coding RNA (MACU_LNC002625)". Lineage: Eukaryota; Viridiplantae; Streptophyta; Magnoliopsida; Zingiberales; Musaceae. The record is from RNAcentral.